UUCAGAUCAUUCUUCCCGCCGCAAAUUGCAAUCAGAUAUGAACCCUAAGCAAAUCUCUCAAUGGUCGACUUCCCAUCUUGGUUCGUACCUCCAUCGCAAUGUGGAAGAAGCCUACGGCGUGUUCUGUGUCUUCGGAGUAGCCAUGAAAGUCGUUCGAGAUCGACGGGAGCAGUAUAGCUCUCGCUGUUUUCAUAGACGUCACCAAUUCCAAACAGAUUCCAGAUAUUUUCCCGGUGCUUGCGGCUGCAUAUAAGACACUUGUAUCCAAGUCGAGGGAUUCUCUGUCUACAAUUAUUCGGGUUCAAAGCAUGUAAUUCUUUCUGACUUCUUGGAUAUGACAGACUGUUGCUAAUUUAUUUGUGGGUAUGGACGAGUGAUCUUUGGACUUAAUCAUAUGCAGAUUACAGAGUUUUUGAAAAGAUGUGGAAUUUCUGAUGAAGUCCAUCGAGAAACUAAUACAUGGUAAAGAGAUCAACCUAGAGGAAUUGGGAGGGAGAGCAGACCAAGCUUGGAUACGAAAGCAUUUUAAGAUAACUGGACCCGAGUUGACGGUAUCAUCAUCACAUGUAGAAUCGCUGCGCGGGAUGCCUUGUAGCUGCAAAACCUGCAACAAGUUUCAUCUUUGGCUGUUGGCACACAGUCACUCCUCUAUAGGUGAAUGCAUUGAUUUGUUUUACAGUAUAAUUACUUUUAGGUUGAUGAUGUCUAUAUGGAAUGUUCAAAUGAUUAUGCUGUUUAUGUCUGAUGGGAAUUGAUUAAUUUGUAAUUAGAUUGAUGAUGUCUAAGCAAUUUUAUAGAAUUCUCAGGUAAUCAUGCUGUUAAUGGUUAUUUGUUUUAUGAAAUUUAUUGAAUACAAUUGAAGCUAGGUGACUUCUUUGAGCCUAACUUAGUCAUAUUUUAUAAUCUUAAAAAUUUAUGUUCGAUCUUAUCAUUAGGAUAAGCUUUUUAUCCAUUCUUUCAUAUUUUCUAUAAAUUUAGAUGGGAAGAUAGAUUACUCGUAUAUUUAUUAAAGACUAUCUUGUUCUAUAUUUUGAGAUUC
Non-coding RNA from Cucurbita pepo subsp. pepo (vegetable marrow), 1039 nucleotides. The record is from RefSeq and is a predicted model, not a curated record. Lineage: Eukaryota; Viridiplantae; Streptophyta; Magnoliopsida; Cucurbitales; Cucurbitaceae.